This 7585-nucleotide long non-coding RNA is filed under the name Solanum lycopersicum (tomato). RNAcentral describes it as "long non-coding RNA (SLYC_LNC000628)". Lineage: Eukaryota; Viridiplantae; Streptophyta; Magnoliopsida; Solanales; Solanaceae. The record is from RNAcentral.
UUUGAUUCUAUAUAACUUCUUUUUUCGUCAUUGUUGGGGGGCAGGAACAAAUAUUGAGCUUUUUAUUUUGUGAUUUUUUCAAGUUGAGAACACAAAAGAUUGAGGGAAGGAUACGUUCGAAUCAUGAAACACAUUUUGAAAGGGCAGAGAUAAUAAAUUUAGUGUUUCGCUUUCAAGUUCAUGUUCGUAUCUUUAAUCGGUUGUUCCUAGUUGAGCUUGGUGUGGUGAAGGUUGUCUCUCCAACUCGUUCAUGUCCCUCUUCGCUGACUAGAAGAAGGUAAUAGAUCCUCUUUCGUAGUAUUUUUUUUCUAUCGUCUUUUAGAUUUCAAAAUGAUUUUUGAGUGAUUUGAAGCUUGUGGUGUUGUUUUUUUGUAUUUUUACAUAUUGAUAUGCCUCAUUCAUAACGCUUUAGUUAUUUCAUGGUCUACUAGAAGGUAUUGUUUUCUAUUUUUUUUAUUCGUGCCUAAAUUCGCUUUUCGUUUGUUGUUCCCCUCAAGGUUAUACCACUGCCUCCUCUUGAAAUUCUUUUGAAUGUCAUUGAGCUUGUAUGCCCUUAUUCCCUUGUGUGCUAAUGUCAAAAUUUGUAUUUUUGUAUCACUACUUCUGACCUUCUUACCAAACGAAAGCAAAAUCUUGGAAAAAUUGAUGAUUGCUAAGUAGUAUGUCAUUUUAGUAAUUGUAUGUUGGAUGAUGUGUGUUGGAUGCCACAAAUAGCUUCACUAUUCUAUUUGAUAUCAUGUUGGUCCUAUGGCUCAAUGUGCCUCAUUUAAAUCAAGUUUACACCAUAUUUGCUCAGAUUUUAAAAAUAAAUAAAUAAAUCAAUAAAAUGUUUGUCAUUCGUAAUCAAUCUCCUAAUAUAUAUGAGAUGCAUUCAAAAAUCAUGAUUAAUUCUCUUUUUGUGCUCGCCAUUACCCGGUAGCUUGACUAAACAAAUGCAUUUGGCCAUUUAAUGAUUUACUGUAAGUGUUUAUAUCUAUGUCAUCCUUAGACGAGAAUUACAACUUUGGUUCAUGUCUGUUAAGUAUCUGUUAGUUGUUCAACGUUUUGAUACUAGGAACUUAGUUUUAGGCACAAUGUUUUGUUAGUUAGAAUCUCAGAAGUUGUCCUUCGCUUCAUUUUACAAAUGUUCUUCUAACAUAGAAUACAUGUUUCUGAUGUGCCAAACGAGUUGUCUUCCAAUUUCUAUAUCCUGCUUCGCUUUUCUCUAAAUUUUUGGCAUAUAAAAAUGAUUGUUUGACAUUGACUUGUGCCUUUGUUGGUCUCUCUCUAUGUGACAAGAUGAUUUUUCUAAUUUUGAUGUUAUUCCUUAGUGGUAUUACUUGCUCAUUUUGUAUUUGUUCCUCAGUAAUUCAAUGGAUUAUUCAUCAAUAUGAGAAAUUUGUUUGGGACCGAAAACCAAUGGAAGCUAAAAAAGGAGUUUGCUCAUAAGUUGUUUGAACACAUGCUUACAGUGAUCAAAAUGUACUCUUUGUCUUAACAUCUUUGUUUGAAUGACUCAUGUGAUUUAUUUUGAUCUUCCGGAAAUUGGUUGGCAGUAUUCGUGAGUGAAAACCGAAGUAGCCCUUUUUCUUUCUUCUUUUUCUCACUGUAUUAUGUAAACAAUGAAAUAAAUAAAAUAAUAAUAAAGAAAAAUAAAAUAAAGUGUGCUCUAUAUUUUUAUCCAUCGCUAAUGUGACUUUACUUUUUUUAUAUGAAAUUUAUCUGAGUUCGCCAUGAACUCCCUCUUACAUUUCGAUAAAGUAAUCAAAGCUCAAAUUCCCUUAUUCGAGUCAGCCUAUUAACUAGAAGAAUAAGUUUCGAAAAGGUGUACAGGUCCCUAAGUGAAAGGAAUUGAAGUGGAAGAAGAGGAAGAGAGUGAGCCAUAAGGGCCCAAGUUUAUUUCCUUAGAAUUUUGUAUUUUUGUUGUUCUAGUCCUAAGCCCUUGUCUUAUUAUUAUUAUUUUGCUCAUUAGGACACGUACCAUUGAAAUGGGUCAAAGGCCCCAAAAGAAAUGGGUCCAAAUACCAGUCCAGGGAGAAAGAAACCGGAUAUGGACCCAACUCUCUCUCACUCUCUCCUUUUACUUUCGUCUAUUUGCUUGUCGAUAUCUACUACUAGUUUUAAGUUAGGAAAUUUCAAAUCCCUACAAGACACCACCUCGUUUUAAUCACUUAUCUAAAUCAACCAAGUAUAAAUAAACUUAAAAAUAAAUAAAUAAAUUUUGCAAAUCUCAAUUAGAUAAUAAAAUUGAUACUUCACUUUUCAAACAACUCUAAGUAUUUCUUUAUCUCAAAAUGAGUUAGACAUUUUAGCCAAACAAUUUAAUUGUUGGAAAAUCAUGUUAAUGGAUAUUUUAGGUAAAGUUUUCUAAAAGUUUUCAUGUUUAAAUCUUUUCGAAAACUAAGUUUUUUCUUGUCUUUUGCUCAAAAAUUAAGUGGCGACUCUAAAAAAAUAUAAAACUGAUAUAAAAAUAUUUUUCUUUUCUGAAAUAAAACAAUUAGUCCCCCUCCACUACAACUUCCUUGAACGCAAUUUCCAUCACAAUUGAGCUUAAUAAAAUUUCUAGGUGGUUUGAGCCAUUUGACUCUGAUGGAAGUUCUUUGAUCGGUGUCCGCUUCAAAGAUUUGACAGAGGCUAUUCCAGCUUCACCUAUCGUUUCUUGACCAAAAUUCUUUUGUGUAACCUGCAAUAGAGUGAAACACUCUUUAAAUUAAUAUGUUAUGUUGUGUUAAAUUGCAUGUUGGGUGUUUGAGUUGGAUGUUAGAUUUUGCCACCCUUUGUUCUAUUUAAAGUAAUCUCAUUAUAGGAUGAAGAUUUCCAAGGAGAGAUAUUGUAACACAUCGGUCGUAGAAAGAACUAAUUUUAGCAAGAACCUGUGUGGAAAGGGCUAAAUCGAGAAUUUGUUAGUGUUAAAUAGUGAGUUUUGGGUCAACUUCAAACAACCAUAAUUUUCAAUACAUUAUGAGUUAAGUGGCCUGUGAGAUAUAAAAUGAAAGAUCUUUUAUUCCUCCUGCCAAUGUCACCAAAUUUUCUAAAAUAUAAGUUCAAAUGAUGGAGAUAUACUUGUUUGAGUUCAGCCCAUUCGUUUAAGGAAAUUCAUCCGAACGAAGGAGGGGUAUUUUGGUUGUUUUCCUUACCCUACUAGCCUAACUAAUUUCUAGUAAUAUUUUAGGGGUCUAAAAUUAUUUUGAUCAGUUUUCACAAUUCAAAAACACUCUUAGGGUUUUAGAGAGAAAUUCAAGAGGAUAAAAAAAGAGAAGUUCAAUCGUUCAUUCAAGAUUCUUGCAAUCGUUGAGGAGUUUUUCCAAGGAUUAAAUCCUUUCAAGGUACGUAAGUUUUCAUAGUUUUGCGUUCGUUCACCCACACUCCAACCAUGUGACUUUUCAUCCGUAAUUUCGUUAUUGAGUCUGAAUAAUUUGACAAUUUGAGGAGUUCUUGAGGUUUUGUGCUUCAUUCUUUGAUAUGUAGGUUUUCAUAGUCUUGAGGUUUUGUGUUUCAAGGUAUGUCAGUUUUCAUAGUGUUGGGUUCGUUCACCCACACUCCAACCAUGUAAUUUUUUCUCCGUAUAUUGAGUCUGAAUGAUUUUCAUGAAAUUGUGUUGGGUAAAUAAAUUUAAUGAAAUUUGGAAGAAACCACUUGAUUCUAGGUGAAUUAGAGACAAAAAUCGAUUAGGAACAUUCAUCGAGUUUUUUGGGCAGGGGCUGGGGCGACACGCCACUAAUGCGCACCAGCAGUGCAACAAAAAUAGUUCUCUAUAGUUUAGGGCUAGUGUCUCGGGCCACUCAGUGCGACAGGGUCACCUUUACCCGUCGUUUUCUAUUGUUCGUUUCAUCUGAGUUAUUUUUCAAAAUAUAUUCACUCUCUUCCUUAUUAUAACUAUUCUAAAAUACAUCUAAUCAUCAAAAGAUCCUUUAUAUCAUGAAUCAUAACUCUUGAAUUCAUAUUUCAAAUUCAAGAAAAUGUUAAGAGUCACGUUUGAGAGGCUUUCGAGUCUUUUUGAGAAGUCUUUUACAAACUUUAAAAACUUGUUUUAAGACUUGAGUUAAAUAUGAGGAUGAGGAGAUUUGAAUUCAUGUUUUUAAAAUGAAUAUAAAGGAACUAAGUGUUUCGAAGAGUAAAUAUUUUUACAUUUAAAAUGAGCGGAAACAUCAAUUUUCAAAUGAGUUCAUGAGAAGUUUUUUAGAACUAUCUCCUUUAAGAGAACAUUUUGAGUAAUAAUCUCAAACUUUUAGUACAAGUAAAUAUUUUUUUAAAUCGUAGCACGAGUUAUAUUAUUGGAAGUAGUAUUGAGCACCGAUGGUCCUUUUGAUGUUUUAAGGGUUGGCUGAUUUUUCUUGUACCUGAAUUUGGUUUCUUUCACUAUCGUGAGGAGGAGCUCGCUUUUACAAGGUGUUGUUCUCUUUCGCGAAGGUUCAACUUCCUUUGACCUUCGCGAUCGCGAAAUACCUAUUCACGAUCGCGAUCUUCAAAUAAUCGAAGAAUUGUUUGCUUAAAAGAGACUCGUGCUUUUAGUGGGGUUCACUUAAGUGAACCUUUAGUCCCUUGUACGACAUCAUAGAAGGGUUUUGGCCUUCCAUUUCUGGGUUUAAGAUCCAUUUCACCAUUUUUGAACUUGGUGAACCCUUGGUGGCAAAUUUUCAAAGACUUUUUGGUGACAGGUCAGUUGGGUAAGUUUUCUUGAUCGUAAACCUUUAUUUUUCAUUAAUUAAUUAUGAGUUUUAACCUAAAAAUAUGGUAUUUUGAUUGGUGAAUAAUGAGUUUUUUUCAAGAACCGAAGUUCGAACUAAAAUGGAGUUUAUGAAUUGGUUUUAAGUUCCUUUUCAAAAUGGUUUUCCCUAAUGAAUUUCUUAACACUUGAGCAAUGUUUUCAAGUAUUAAAUUCUAGAUUCAAACCUUACUUGUAGAAUUAGAUUUUGUGUUGAUUGAUCCACCUUGAAAGAGUAAUUAUGUGGAUAUUGUUAUUUCCACAAAUUUAUUAAGAAUAUUUUCUUGUGCAUGGGUUGUGUGGCUUUUGAAGCAAUUCAGAAGGGGAUGACUCAACUAUUGGAGUUAUUGCUAAUUGAAUUCAGUCAAGUGCAUUUCUAAACCUUGUUUCUAGUUGAAUUCAUAUUCUUCCUUCGUUGAUUAUGUGUUGGGGGUAAUGAGGAGGAGGUGAAGGGCUUAAUUGUCCAAUUGUAUAUAUAAAUGAGUAAAAAGGGGUUGAAAUGAAAAUUUCUAUGUGUUGAAUAUGAUAAUGUAAAUUACCUUAUUGUAACCCUUGUUGAUUAAUUGAUGAAAUGCUUGAAAGCAUGAUUGUGGACUAAACUUUUAUCAAUUGUUGUAUCUUCUGUGUGGUCUGAUAUUGCUUGUAUGCAUCAGUUCUGAGCACUAUGAUAAGACAUGUGAUGAUUUAUGAUGUCGAGUUCUUAACCAACUAGUGAUAUAAACCUGAUGGAUAAUGGUUCCAGCUAAUGAUAUAAAGUUGAUGAGAAAUGAUCCUGACUAGUGAUUUGAUAUAAUUAUAGCCGAUGGAUAAUAGUUCCGACUAAUAAUAUAAGGCCAAUGGGAAAUAGUUAUGGCUAUUGAUUUGAUAUAAAGCCGAUGGGGAAUGGUUCCGACUAUUGAUAUAAAACUGAUGAAAAUGGUUAUGGCUAGUGAUGUUAUUUAAAGCUGAUGGAAAAUGGUUAUGGCUAGUAAUAUUUCACCGAUGGAAAAUUAUUAUGGCAAGAGAUUGAUUAAUAUGACUUGUUGUAUCUAAUGCUUUUGUGUUUGACUUGCUUGAUACUUGACAGUGUUGUACUUGUUGUGUGUGACUGAACUACUUGUCAUUAAGCUUGACUUAUGUGAUUUUCUUGAUUUUUGGAUUGUGAAGAUCAAACGUUGAAUGUGAAUGUUGGGCUUGUGAGACGUCUACUGUAGAAUCGAUAGGUUGAACUAAUUUCUAUGUAGGUUGUAGUUUGAGGAGGUUCGAUUGGAGUGCAAGGGGUAUUUGAUUUCUAGCUAGUUGCUUUGUUUAGUAGGUUGCUUGUUUUGUACUGUGUUAUUGGUACUCAUCCCUUUCUUCUACACUUGUGAAGGUUUCGAGCGUAAAGCCGCGUGAUCUCCUUGUUCACCUGAAAUACGAUGCCCACUGAAGUAUUUGAGAGGUAGUUGAUUGUCAUCUUUCCGGACCUUGUUCUCAUUUUCUUUAAGCAUUGUUCUACUUGAGAAACUUUCAUUAGUGGUUUGUACAUAUAUGACAAACAGGUUUUAGAGUAUUAUAUUGUUAGAAUGAAUCACUGUUCCACAUUCAUCUUGUUUUUGCUUUACUAUUUUCCACAUAUCUUUUUUUAAUUUGGAUUUAGAUUGACUUGUUUUGGUGUGAAUAGACAAGUGUCAUCACAUUCAUUUUUAAAUAAUGACCGUUAGUAGGGAUAAAACUCCAUGAAUGGACUAGUGUAAAUCAUGGAAAUCUCUGGUUUGAUAAACUAAUAUGUUAAAACUUUGUUAGAUCUUCUAAGAAGAUAAAAUUAGGUGAGUUUAUUCACUAUUUGGAUGAUAAGUGGAUUGAGUCCAAUGUGAUCUUAAGGAUGUGUGGUUAUGUAUGGAAAUAUAUUAGGUACCAUACUGAUACAAUAUGUGGACAUCUAGGUUCCUCAACAGGUUAUAACUAGAUGAGCAAAAUUAAAAUUGUUUAGCAUCUAUGCACAAACGAAAGUGAGACGUGAUUUUGAGAGAUGGAAAUUUCUAAAAGAUACAAUAAUUGCACAAAAAAGGCCAGGAUAUAUAUAAUUUUCAUGAUUUUAUUGAGUUGUUUGUAUUUUGGACAAGUGUUUUAAUUUGAUGACUUAAAUUGAUUGAUAAUUGAUGCCUAGAGUUUCAUAAUUUUGAUAAACUAGUUAAGAUAUAGUGUUGUUAAAAGAUCACCUGGUUGGAUGUCAAUGUGACGGAUGGAUAGGCGUAGCACAAAAGAAGGAUCAAUUACAAGAGGAAGGCAGGGUCGAGUUGGGUUAAGCCUGAAUCCUUCCUUAUGGAAGUAGGGUGGGAUAUCGUCUACAAGAUAUGUAUAGUCCUUGUUGUUCACCUCCGCUUCUCGACGCUGACGACCCCUAUCAAGACCUUUUUCCUUUAGAGUUGUCUGACUUCUCGGUGAUCGAAUAAGAGAAGUUUUUACCACUUUCUCCAGCACUCUCGGACUAAUCAUCUUGUUGCAACAAAGCAAGCCUGGGAAUGAAUCUAAUGGAAAUUCAGGUCUCUAUCCGCUUGAAAGAUUAUUCUUUCCUCCUCUGUGAAAGAAGGAAAGACAGGUGUGUUGGAGACAAAAUUCAAAAAACAGAGAAGCUAAAGUCCAGAGGAUAAGGUUUCCAGAUGUAAUCGUGAAUCGAAACAUUAAGUUGUCGACGGAUAAUAUGGUUUUAUGCAAUCAUGAAUCAAAACAUUAAGUUGUCGACGGAUAAUAUGGGUUUAUAUAUACUUACACUUUUAUAAUUGAAUGCAUUAUAAUUCCAAGUGUAGGUUGGAUACCAUAUUACUUGGUCCCCUAUGGAUGUUGGAUUGUGAUAUGUCAAAAAGGAUGCUGAGUUGUAUUGUAUAUUUCCAUAUUGAUUUGCUAAUGAUUUGUGAUGAAUUUGAUGAAGUGUGACUUACG